Long non-coding RNA from Salvelinus sp. IW2-2015, 1190 nucleotides. RefSeq lists it as uncharacterized. The record is from RefSeq and is a predicted model, not a curated record. Lineage: Eukaryota; Metazoa; Chordata; Actinopteri; Salmoniformes; Salmonidae.
GAGCAGGUUUUAGCAGCUAGUGUUAGCGACAUAGCUACCAUUUGAAGAUGUGUGUGUUUUUCUCUGUUAGCCGUGUGCUGUGUCUACUGGCGCUGACCAUGGCCAUCCUCUCCUCUACAUUGGAAGUGCGUUCCCAGGGAAUGAGGCCUCUAAAUUGCUGUUUGAAGACAUCCAAAAAACGUCCAGCAGAACCAAUCACACAGUGUCUUAUUCAGAUACCUCGUGGGAAAUGUAACCUCAAAGCAUACAUUUUCACCAGUGGGGAGCAGUGGAAGUGCAUCAACCCCAAAGCCAGAUGGCUCCCUGCUGAGCUAGCAUCACUGGAACAGAGAGGAAUACAGUGUGACCCACUGAUUAAAUAACCAUCAGACCAUGAUCCUAGAUCAUCAUCAUCGCCAGCAGCAGGUUCAGCAGCCUCUCUCAACCAGGAACUACAGAACUAAGAUCUCUCUCAACCAGGAGCUACAGAACUAAGAUAAUAAGAAGACAGUGAAAAUGAAGAUUAUGAUUUGUGUGAUUUAAGUAUUUCAAGCUCUCUUUAUCAGAUUAUUUAUGUAUUUAUUUAUUUAUUUCAACCUCAUCCCGGCAUUAAUUUAUUGUACUCAAUUCAUUAAGGUGUUUUAAAGGCAUUUGUAUUUAUUUAUUUCCUCUGUCCUUUUUUUAAUGCUGUGAUAAUAACAUAACUUUGUUUGUAUAAAGUCUUUCAUUCUCAAAGUGCUUUACAAUGAUACAAAAUAGAGAACGGGAGACCUAUCUGAGUAUCUCCAUAGUAACUAGACCCUGUAAUGGCUGCAUAAAGGUUAAAGGUUGUGACACUCAAUCGUGUCACUGGGCUGUGGUCAUGGUGAUAACACUGCCCAUCAGUUCUACUGACAAAGCCAUUCCCUCAGUCCCUGAUCCUAUCCUCUUCCACUAGCCGCUACUCCUUGUCCUUAACUCCUACUGCUAGCUACCCCCUAAACUCACAGAUGCAGCUGUUUCAGUGAACCUGUAUUUAUUUGGCCAACAGAUAAACAAAUAAAACACUAUUGACUGAAAUGGUCAUGAUCAUAGUAGCAUAUUGUUCCCAUGUCAGUCAGUCAGUCACAUGACCCAGUCUUCCUCUGGCCCCUCUCCUCUUCUCUCAGUGUGACUGUGACAUGGCUAACAUGGAAGGUACUGGAAUGAGUAAUAAAAGCAUGACAACCGGA